GGGCCCGCACAAGCGGUGGAGCAUGUGGUUUAAUUCGAUGAUACGCGAGGAACCUUACCAGGGCUUAAAUGUAGUGGGACAGGUCUAGAGAUAGACCCUUCUUCGGACUACUUACAAGGUGCUGCAUGGUUGUCGUCAGCUCGUGCCGUGAGGUGUCAGGUUAAGUCCUAUAACGAGCGCAACCCCUAUCGUUAGUUGCCAUCAAGUAAUGUCGGGAACUCUAACGAAACUGCCAGUGCAAACUGUGAGGAAGGUGGGGAUGACGUCAAAUCAUCACGGCCCUUACGUCCUGGCUACACACGUGCUACAAUGGGUAGAACAAUAAGUUGCUAAGUUGCGAAACCAAGCG
Molecule: ribosomal RNA, 349 nt
Filed under: uncultured bacterium
Lineage: Bacteria
Description: bacterial SSU rRNA
Rfam family: Bacterial small subunit ribosomal RNA
Source: RNAcentral